CUGUCUAACAUGCUGCCUCUCCUCAAGCAGGGGGAAUGCAGGACUACCACCAGAACUCAUUUUUAGGGAGACUCAAUGGGUGGGAAAUUUUCAGACUUGGUGCAGACACUCACCAUAGAGGACAUCACGGAGAACUGUCACUGAGAGGCCAGGCUUCCUCUGCAGAUCUUCUAAUCCAUAAAUGCCAAGUGAGCAGGCCGCCCACCAAAAAGACUUCAACCGAAAAGAGAAAGUAAGGAGUGGCUGAAGAAUGCCUGCGAGCUGCCAUUAAGGUUCAGUGACACUGCCCACUAGUAGAGCCAGGCCCAAGAGUCAACCCACCGAAUAGAGUUUUGUCCAACUGGUUUGUGGAUAUUACAAUGAUGCUGGUGAAUGUUUCAUGUAGCUCUUGGCUGCCGUUUCACAUAAGGAAAAACAAAUAGAAAGACCUCAGGGCAGUCCAGUGAGCAUUCUUCAUGAAAGGAAAAAAUACAAGAGCGUUCUGAUGACAGGAUCAGCUAACCUAGGGAUCUUCAAACAUCUCUGUUCCCGUGGCCUCUAAAAAUAUUUGGAAAAGCUAUGUAUCUACUUCCUUACAUGUUUAAGUUGAAAAUGAUAAUUGUAUUACAAGUUUAACAUUUUCAUAGA
Eptesicus fuscus (big brown bat) is the source of this 627-nucleotide long non-coding RNA. RefSeq lists it as uncharacterized. Lineage: Eukaryota; Metazoa; Chordata; Mammalia; Chiroptera; Vespertilionidae. The transcript is spliced from 4 exons. The record is from RefSeq and is a predicted model, not a curated record.